CAUUCAUCAGUUAGUUGAUGGAGUUUUUACACUGACCUUCAACUAUAUUGUAUAUACAUUUUACCAGAAGAGUCCAUUUCUUUAGACAUUUACACCAACAUUAAACUAUAAACCAUACAUUAUACCAGUAUAAUCAAUGACUUAAGUCAUUUACACUGACCUUAAAAGAUAUUAUAUAUAUAUAUAUAUUUUAUACUGGCAUGACCAGUAGAAUGCAUUGGUUUUUAUACGACCGCAAAAAAAUUUUGUGGUCGUAUAUUGGUAUGACGUUGGCGUCGUCGUCCGAAGACACCUUGGUUUUCGCACUCUAACUUUAGUUUAAGUGAAUGGAUCUUUUUGAAAUUUGACCAUAAGGUUAAAUACCACAAAAGGAAGGUUGGGAUUGAUUUUGGGGGUUAUGGUACCAACAGUUAAGGAAUUAGGGGCCAAAAAUAAGCAUUUUCUAGUUUCCAGACAAUAACUGUGGAACGGUGUAUGGAUCUCUCUGAAAUUAUACUACAAGUUUCCAUACCACAAAGGGAUGGUUAGGAUUUGCUUUGGGGGGUUAAUGCUCAAACCGUUUAGGAAUUAGGGGCAAAAAAGGGGGAAAAACAAGGUUGUCCUGGUUAAUGGACAAAUACUUUAGUACAAAACAUAAUUUAAAGCAGUGUAAGGCAGAUAAAUCAAAUACAUCAUUGAAAUUAUCUCCCUUACACUGCUUUUAAAUUAUGUAUAAAGUAAUGGUUAAUGAACAAUAAAGAUAAUUUAAAACAGUGUAAGGGAGGUAAUCCAAAUACAACGUUUUGGUUACUUCCCUUACACUGCUUUUAAAUUAUGUUUAAAGAAAUACAUAUUUAUAAAGGAAGACCAGUAAAAAUAUCUCCAAAUGUUACAUCUUUUUUUUUUACAAAAAAAUCCAUAUGAAAGAUUUGACACUAUAUUUUUAAUUCUAUUAUAAAAUAGAUUAAGUUAGCACUAUGGUAAAUUUAAAUGGGUAAUUAUGGUUGCCAACUCCAUUGGAAAUUUGAAUUGAGAUUAUGACCAUAUCUUGAGGGAAAGAAUUUUUUUGGGGAAAAAAGGGGGGGGGGAUAAAAAGAAAUUGUGGGGGGUCAAUUUUUUCUCAUUUCAGAUUUCAGAAAUUAAAAAGAAUUAUUCUUCAAAUAUUAUUUUUUUUUCAAAUUUCAAAUAUUGAAAAAUUUCAAGAAGUAAUCUUUAAUUGCACAGUAUUGCGCAUUAGAUUUGUAAAAUCUUUGAUCACAUUUAUUUAUUUGUUAUGCCGAAUCUAACAGUGUAUUUAGAUUUUUAAUUUUGGGUCCAGUUUUCAAAUUGGUCUACAUUAAGGUCCAAAGGGUCCAAAAUUAAACUUUGUUUGAUUUUAGCAAAAAUUGAAUAUAUGAGGUUCUUUGAUAUGCUGAAUCUAAACAUGUAUUUAGAUUUUUGAUUUUUGGCCCAGUUUUCAAGUUGGUCAAAAUUGGGGUCCAAAAUUAAAGUUUGUUUGAUUUCAACAAAAAUUGAAUAUAUGGGGUUCUUUGAUAUGCUGAAUCUAACCAUGUAUUUAGAUUUUUUAUUUGUGGACCCCGUUAUCAAAUUGGUUCAUAUUGAGGUCAAAAGGGUCCAAAAUUAAACUUUGUUUGAUUUCAUCUAAAAUUGAAUUAUUGGGGUUCUUUGAUAUUCCAAAUCUAACCGUGUAUUUAGAUUUUUAAUUUUGGGUCCUGUUUUUUAAAUUGGUCUACAUUAAGGUCCAAAGGGUCCAAAAUUAAACUUAGUUUGAUUUUAACAAAAAUUGAAUUCUUGGGGUUCUUUGAUAUGCUGAAUCUAAACAUGUGUUUAGAUUUUUGAUUAUGGGCCCAGUUUUCAAGUUGGUCCAAGAUAGGGUCCAGUAUUUAAACUUUGUUUGAUUUCAACAAAAAUUGAAUAUAUGGGGUUCUUUGAUAUGCUGAAUCUAAACAUGUAUUUAGAUUUUUGAUUAUGGGCCCAGUUUUCAAGUUGGUCCAAAUUGGGGUCCAAAAUUAAACUUUGUUUGAUUUCAACAAAAAUUGAAUAUAUGAGGUUCUUUGAUAUGCUGAAUCUAACCAUGUAUUUAGAUUUUUUUAUUUGUGGGCCCCGCUAUCAAAUUGGUUCAUAUUGAGGUCAAAAGGGUCUAAAAUUAAACUUUGUUUGAUUUCAUCAAAAAUUGAAUUAUUGGGGUUCUUUGAUAUGCCAAAUCUAACCGUGUUUUUAGAUUUUUAAUUUGGGUCCCAUUUUUAUACGACCGCAAAAAAAUUUUUGUGGUCGUAUAUUGGUAUGACGUUGGCGUCGUCGUCGUCGUCGUCGUCGUCCGGCGUCGUCCGAAGACACUUGGUUUUCGCACUCUAACUUUAGUUUAAGUGAAUGGAACUUUAUGAAAUUUUACCACAAGGUUCAAUACCACAAAAGGAAGGUUGGGAUUGAUUUUGGGGGUUAUGGUAAUAACAGUAAAGGAAUUAGGGGCCAAAAAUAAGCAUUUUUGUAACUUCCAGACAUAACUUGUGUGUUAGUGUAUGGAUCUCUCUGACAUUGUACCACAAGGUUCCAUAUCACUAAAGGAAUGCUGGGAUUGAUUUUGGGGGUAUUUGCCUCCAAAUUUUAGGAAUUAGGGGCCAAAAAAGGGGCAAAAAACAAGCAUUUUUCUAGUUUCAUGACAAUAACUUGUGUGUAAGUGUAUGGAUCUUUCUGAAAUUGUACUACAAGGUUCCAUAUCACAAAGGGAAAGCUGGGUUUGAGUUUGGGGGUAAUUGCCCUAAACAUUUAGGAAUUUGGGGCCAAAAAGGGGCCAAAAAACACAUUUUUUUCUAGUUUCCAGACAAUAACUUGUGUUCAAGUGUAUGGAUCUCUCUGAAAUUGUACUGCAAGGUACCAUACCACAAAGGGAAGGCUGGGAUUGAGUUUGGGGGUGAUGAAUCAUAAUGGGGGUUCAAAAAAUUUUGGGGGGGGAUUUAUUUUUUUUUCCUUUUUUUCUUUUUUUCCUUUUUUGUUUCUUUUAAAAUUUUCCAUUUUAAGUUGGUUAUUUCUGAUUUAUAUUUAAAAUCAAAUAAUAAUGAUAUGGUAGGAGAUACACACCAAACAGGAUGUGUAAAUUAUUAUAUAAUAAGUAUUGUGCAAUAGCAAGAAAUUUUCAAUUGCACAAUAUUGCACAAUAGCAAGAAAUCUUCAAUUGCACAGUAUUGCGCAAUAGCAAGAAAUCUUCAAUUGCACAGUAUUACGCAAUAGCAAGAAAUAUCCAAUAGCACAAUAUUGCGCAAUAGCAAGAAAUUGUCAAUUGUACAGUAUUGCGCAAUAGCAAGAAAUAUUUAAUAGCACAGGAUUGUGCAAAAGAAGAUACUUCCUAUAAAUUGCUUAUUUCUUGACCAAUUUCAAUGGGGUUUUAUUCUUGAUUUCAUGGGGUUCUUUAAUAUGCUGAAUCUAACCGUGUAUUUAGUUUUUGGAUUUUGGGCCCCGUUUUUAAAUUGGUCCACAUUGAGGUCCAAAGGGUCCAAAAUUAAACUUUGUUUGAUUUCAUCAAAAAUUGAAUUAUUGGGGUUCUUUGAUAUGCCGAAUCUAACUGUGUAUUUAGAUUCUUAAAUUUUGGUUCCGUUUUCAAAUUGGUCUACAUUAAGGUCCAAAGGGUCCAAAAUUAAACUUAGUUUGAUUUUAACAAAAAUUGAAUUCUUAGGGUUCUUUGAUAUGCUGAAUCUAAACAUGUAUUUAGAUUUUUGAUUAUGGGCCCAGUUUUCAAGUUGGUCCAAAUCGGGGUCCAAAAUUAAACUUUGUUUGAUUUCAACAAAAAUUGAAUAUAUGGGGUUCUUUGAUAUGCUGAAUCUAACCAUGUAUUUAGAUUUUUGAUUUUUGGGCCCCGUUAUCAACUUUGUCCACAUUGAGGUCAAAAGGGUCCAAAAUUAAACUUUGUUUGAUUUCAUCAAAAAUUGAAUUAUUGGGGUUCUUUGAUAUUCUAAAUCUAACCGUGUUUUUAGAUUUUUAAUUUUAAGUCCCGUUUUUUAAAUUGGUCUACAUUAAGGUCCAAAGGGUCCAAAAUUAAACUUAGUUUGAUUUUAGCAAAAAUUGAAUUAUUGGGGUUCUUUGAUAUGCUGAAUCUAAACAUGUGUUUAGAUUUUUGAUUAUGGGCCCAGUUUUCAAGUUUGUCCAAGUUGGGGUCCAAAAUAAAACUUUGUUUGAUUUCAACAAAAAUUGAAAAUAUGGGGUUCUUUGAUAUGCUGAAUCUAACCAUGUAUUUUGAUUUUGGACAUUGGACCAUAAUAGGUAAAUUAAAAAAAUUCAAGUUUUUAGACCACAUUCUUUCUGUGUCAGAAACCUAUGCUGUGUCAAAUAUUUAUUAUAACAAUCCAAAUUCAGAGCUGUAUCAAGCUUGAAUGUUGUGUCCAUACUUGCCCCAACUGUUCAGGGUUCGACCUCUGCGGUCAUAUCAAGCUGCGCCCCAGCGAAGCAUUUUAUUUAUAUUUGUUGUCGUAUAUUGGUAUGACGUUGGCAUCGUCGGCGUCGUUGUCGUCGUCCGAAGACACAUUGGUUUUCGCACUCUAACUUUAGUUUAAGUGAAUGGAUCUCUAUGAAAUUUUACCAUAAGGUUCAAUACAACAAAAGGAAGGUUGGGAUUGAUUUUGGGGGUUAUGGUAUUAACAGUUAAGGAAUUAGGGGCCAAAAAUAAGCAUUUUUGUAACUUCCAGACAUAAUUUGUGUGUUAGUGUAUGGAUCUCUCUGACAUUGUACCACAAGGUUCCAUAUCACAAAGGGAAUGCUGGGAUUGAUUUUGGGGGUAAUUGCCUCAAAAUUUUAGGAAUUAGGGGCAAAAAAGGGGCAAAAAACAAGCAUUUUUCUAGUUUCUCAAGUGUAUGGAUCUCUCUGAAAUUGUACUGCAAGGUACCAUACCACAAAGGGAAGGCUGGGAUUGAUUUUGGGGGAAAUUGCCUCAAAAUUUUAGGAAUUAGGAGCCAAAAAGGGGCAAAAACAAGCAUUUUUCUAGUUUCAGGACAAUAACUUGUGUGUAAGUGUAUGGAUCUUUAUGAAAUUGUACUACAGGGUUCCAUAUCACAAAGGGAAAGCUGGGUUUGAGUUUUGGGGUAAUUGCCCUAAACGUUUAGGAAUUUGGGGCCAAAAAGGGGCGAAAAAAACAAGCAUUUUUUCUAGUUUCCAGACAAUAACUUGUGUUCAAGUGUAUGGAUCUCUCUGAAAUUGUACUGCAAGGUACCAUACCACAAAGGGAAGGCUGGGAUUGAGUUUGGGGGUGAUGAAUCAUAAGGGGAUUCAAAAAAAAUUUUGGGGGGGGAUUUUUUUUUCCUUUUUUUCCUUUUUUUUUUUCUUUAAAAUUUUCCAUUUUAAAUUGGUUAUUUCUGAUUUAUAUAUAAAAGCAAAUAAUAAUGAUAUGGUUUGAAAAGGUAAAUUAAAAUUUUUUAAGUUCUUAGACCACAUUCAUUCUGUGUCAGAAACCUAUGCUGUGUCAAAUAUUUAAUCACAAUCCAAAUUCAGUGCUGUAUCAAGCUUGAAUGUUGUGUCCAUACUUGCCCCAACUGUCCAGGGUUCAACCUCUGCGGUCGUAUCAAGCUGCGCCCAGCGGAGCAUUUUAUUAUCAUUCAUACUGACAGAAACCUAUACAAACAAUAUACAUUGUACCAGCAUGACCAGAUAAAUACAUUGGUUCAAUUACCACACUGACAGAAAUCCAAAUACACACUGUACAUUGUACUAGCAUGACCAGUAAAUUACAUUGGUUCAGACAUUCACACUGACACAAACCUACAUACAUGGUACCAGCAUGAACAGUAAAUUACAUCGGUUCAGACAUUCACACUGACUCAAACCUACAUACAUGGUACCAGCAUGAUCAGUAAAUUACAUCGGUUCAGACAUUCACACUGAUGCAAACCUACAUACAGGGUACCAGCAUGAUCAGUAAAUUACAUCAGUUCAGACAUUCACACUGAUGCAAACCUACAUACAUGGUACCAACAUGAUCAGUAAAUAACAUUGGUUCAAUUAUCACACUGAUAGAAAUCUACAUGCACAGUAUAAAUUGUACCACCAUGACCAGUAAAUUACAUGUACAUUGGUUCAGACAUUCACAUUGACAGAAUCUUAUUUACACAAUGUACAUUGUACCAGCAUGAACAGUAAAUUACAUUGGCUCUCUUUUUAAACUGACUAAAAACAAGAAAAAUAACAUGGGUUAAAUUAUGUUACACUGACUUUUUGAUUCACAGUCUGAGAAGUCCUAAAUAAAAACAAAGGUGUAACAUUUCAUCAUGACAUUAAUUUUGUUGCAAGGUUUUCAUUAUUUUUAGAUGUAACACAUACAUGUUUAUCUACAUCAUAGAAAUCUUAUUUUACCCAAUGAUUAUUUAUCUUUCAAGUUUAUGUCAAUUGAAUUACAAGGAGGUUCUCAAAUGCUUUUAUUAUCUACAUCAUAUAAUGGUUUACCUACAUGUUAUAAACUAUUAUUGAUUAUUAUUUUAUGAUCAGAGAUAUAGGUGAUAUUAUGAUAUAUGUUAUAGACCAUCUGGUUACAUAUAGUAAUAGUAUAUGAUAUAAACAUAAAUAUGUAUUAUUAA
This is a long non-coding RNA of Mytilus californianus (California mussel), 6533 nucleotides long. RefSeq lists it as uncharacterized. The record is from RefSeq and is a predicted model, not a curated record. The transcript is spliced from 2 exons. Lineage: Eukaryota; Metazoa; Mollusca; Bivalvia; Mytilida; Mytilidae.